RNAcentral lists this ribosomal RNA (253 nucleotides) under uncultured bacterium. RNAcentral's name for it is "partial 16S ribosomal RNA". It matches the Rfam family "Bacterial small subunit ribosomal RNA", at positions 524 to 776 of the family's 1533-position model. The record is from RNAcentral.
UACGUAGGGUGCAAGCGUUGUCCGGAUUUAUUGGGCGUAAAGAGCUCGUAGGCGGUCUGUCGCGUCGGAUGUGAAAACCCAGGGCUCAACCCUGGGCCUGCAUUCGAUACGGGCAGACUAGAGUAUGGCAGGGGAGAUCGGAAUUCCUGGUGUAGCGGUGAAAUGCGCAGAUAUCAGGAGGAACACCGGUGGCGAAGGCGGAUCUCUGGGCCGAUACUGACGCUGAGGAGCGAAAGCGUGGGGAGCGAACAGG